Molecule: ribosomal RNA, 497 nt
Filed under: uncultured bacterium
Lineage: Bacteria
Description: partial 16S ribosomal RNA
Rfam family: Bacterial small subunit ribosomal RNA
Source: RNAcentral
GAUGAACGCUGGCGGCGUGCCUAAUACAUGCCAGUCGAGCGAACAGACGAGGAGCUUGCUCCUCUGACGUUAGCGGCGGACGGGUGAGUAACACGUGGAUAACCUCCCUUUAAGACUGGGAUAACUUCGGGAAACCGGAGCUAAUACCGGAUAAUAUCUUGAACCGCAUGGUUCAAUAUUAAAAGACGGUUUUGCUGUCACUUAUAUAUGGAUCCGCGCCGCAUUAGAUAGUUGGUAAGGUAACGGCUUACCAAUGCGACGAUGCGUAGCCGACCUGAGAGGGUGAUCGGCCACACUGGAACUGAGACACGGUCCAGACUACUACGGGAGGCAGCAGUAGGGAAUCUUCCGCAAUGGGCGAAAGCCUGACGGAGCAAAGCCGCGUGAGUGAUGAAGGUCUUCGGAUCGUAAAACUCUGUUAUUAGGGAAGAACAAAUGUGUAAGUAACUAUGCACGUCUUGACGGUACCUAAUCAGAAAGCCACGGCUAACUACGUG